AGAGUUUGAUCCUGGCUCAGGAUGAACGCUAGCGGCAGGCUUAACACAUGCAAGUCGAGGGGCAGCGAGGGUAGCAAUACCUGUCGGCGACCGGCGCAAGGGUGCGUAGCGCGUAUGCAACCUGCCCAUUCCCGGGGGAUAGCCCGCCGAUAGGCGGAUUAAUACCCCGUAGACCCUUAGGGCCGCAUGGUCCGGAGGGUAAAGCUUCGGCGGGAAUGGAUGGGCAUGCGUGCCAUUAGCUGGCUGGCGGGGUAACGGCCCACCAGGGCUCCGCUGUCUAGGGGGUCUGAGAGGAAGAUCCCCCACACUGGAACUGAGACACGGUCCAGACUCCUACGGGAGGCAGCAGUGGGGAAUCUUCCGCAAUGGGCGAAAGCCUGACGGAGCAACCCCGCGUGCAGGAUGACGGCCCUAUGGGUUGUAAACUGCUUUUAUACACCAAGAAAAAUCCCCACGUGUGGGGACCCGACGGUAGUGUAUGAAUAAGCAUCGGCUAACUCCGUGCCAGCAGCCGCGGUAAUACGGAGGAUGCAAGCGUUAUCCGGAUUCAUUGGGUUUAAAGGGUGCGUAGGCGGCUUUUUAAGUCAGUGGUGAAAUCCUGCCGCUUAACGGUAGAAUUGCCAUUGAUACUGAAGAGCUUGAGUACAGUUGAGGUAAGCGGAAUGUGUAGUGUAGCGGUGAAAUGCUUAGAUAUUACACAGAACACCAAUUGCGAAGGCAGCUUACUAAACUGAUACUGACGCUGAUGCACGAAAGCGUGGGGAGCGAACAGGAUUAGAUACCCUGGUAGUCCACGCCGUAAACGAUGAGUGCUAGGUGUCGGCGAUAUACUGUCAGCGGCUGAGCGAAAGCAUUAAGUCAUCCACCUGGGGAGUACGAUCGCAAGGUUGAAACUCAAAGGAAUUGACGGGGGCCCGCACAAGCGGAGGAACAUGUGGUUUAAUUCGAUGAUACGCGAGGAACCUUACCUGGGCUCGAACGUAGAGUGACCGGUGCCGAAAGGUGCCUUUCCUUCGGGACAGUCUACGAGGUGCUGCAUGGUUGUCGUCAGCUCGUGCCGUGAGGUGUCGGGUUAAGUCCCGCAACGAGCGCAACCCCUACAGCUAGUUGCCAGCACGUGAUGGUGGGAACUCUAACGAAACUGCCAGCGUAAGCUGUGAGGAAGGUGGGGAUGACGUCAAAUCAGCACGGCCCUUAUAUCCAGGGCUACACACGUGUUACAAUGGCCGGUACAGAGGGCAGCUACCCAGCGACCGGAUGCAAAUCUCGAAAGUCGGUCUCAGUUCGGAUCGAAGUCUGCAACUCGACUUCGUGAAGUUGGAUUCGCUAGUAAUCGCGCAUCAGCCAUGGCGCGGUGAAUACGUUCCCGGGCCUUGUACACACCGCCCGUCAAGCCAUGGAAGCUGGGGGUGCCUGAAGUUCGUGACCGCAAGGAGCGACCUAGGGUAAAACUAGUAACUGGGGCUAAGUCGUAAC
Molecule: ribosomal RNA, 1476 nt
Filed under: uncultured bacterium
Lineage: Bacteria
Description: bacterial SSU rRNA
Rfam family: Bacterial small subunit ribosomal RNA
Source: RNAcentral